CAGCCGCGGUAAUACGGAGGGGGCUAGCGUUAUUCGGAAUUACUGGGCGUAAAGCGCACGUAGGCGGACUUUUAAGUCAGGGGUGAAAUCCCGGGGCUCAACCCCGGAACUGCCUUUGAUACUGGGAGUCUUGAGUUCGAGAGAGGUGAGUGGAAUUGCGAGUGUAGAGGUGAAAUUCGUAGAUAUUCGCAGGAACACCAGUGGCGAAGGCGGCUCACUGGCUCGAUACUGACGCUGAGGUGCGAAAGCGUGGGGAGCAAACAGGAUUAGAUACCCCCGUAGUCCCUGUCUCUUAUACACA
Molecule: ribosomal RNA, 301 nt
Filed under: uncultured bacterium
Lineage: Bacteria
Description: partial 16S ribosomal RNA
Rfam family: Bacterial small subunit ribosomal RNA
Source: RNAcentral